UUUUUGCCUUAUCUCAACAUCACUUCAGGGGUUUAUUUUCUUAAAACGGAUUGCCUCUCUCCGUGUUGUUACUUAAAUAAGACAACUUUUUCAACUCAAGAGUGGCGCCAUACACGGGCGGGAUAUUUUACUGACAUAUUUUAAAGUUUCGAAUAAAUGAUGGGUUUAAUAAGGAGUUUGGUAGGCCGACCUGCUGUUCUGCUACUCUUCGGUUUAGUCGCUGUGUUCGCGCAAACUGCCGCACCAAGGAUAGUUGAGUUAGUGACACUUCUUUUGUUGUUUUUCUUAACCAUUGAUUUGUCGCUUAUAGAUUAUUUUGAUGUAUAUGACAACAUAUUAUAGUUGAUUAUGUUGGCUCUAGUUAGUCUAUGACGUUAAUCUCCGCAAAUACAGCUGGUAGUGAAGUACCCUCGAACCAGUAUUUCCCCGAUUUUAUAUUGUAGCCUAUUUCACAGUGACUUUGCCUUUAGGUAAAACAGAAAAUGACUUAAUGCUUGUUUUCAGUUCCUUUUAUAAUGGUGUAAUUUAGACUUUCAUCAACCUCCACGUUUAUAUUAUUAUAUUCAGAUAAUGGCUCUUUAAUUUCAAGUGUCUUGGUACAUUAGUAACGUAUUUGGCCUUUUCACUGUUAGGGAGUUGGCUCUUGCUUUCUGCUAAAUGCUUGUGUAACUGAAACCUUUUUAGCGGGAACGUUGGAGUGUUUUCAGUUCCUUCUCAGACACAUUUCAGUAGCUAUAAUCGUGACUGGCUGGCCCUUUUAACUGUUAAGUGUUUGGGUGAAACCAGUUAAAGUGUCCAAAGAGACACCUGUUCCCUGUCUUGGAAGAAUCCUUCAGCCUUUUAGCCCCAUAGAAACCAGACUACCAGGCUUCCUCUUCUUAUCUGGAGCCAUAGAACUAACAGAAUGUACACAAACAAUUCUGUGGAGUCAUACAGUCUAACAACAAAUGGAAAUAUCUACAGUAGGCUGGGUCUUACUGCAGUGUGUGAGACUAAGAAUGGAACAAGCUGUGAGGAAUGUGUAACGAUUGUGACGGUCUACAAGGUUCGAUGCCAAGAUGGAGAGGCGGACAAAUAAGAUGAAGGGAAAACAGGAAGAGAGAUGAAGAUGAGGCAUGAAGAAAUCAGAAUGAAAUAUGGUCUCAGUGGGUUCAACCCGUACUCCGAAUUCUCAUGAGCUGAUAUUUGAACACUGUACUAUCAACUGCCUGCCUUCUCUUCACCUCUGACCUUUCACCCCCACCCCCCCACCCCAAGGACUGUUAACCUUAGUCUGCUCUAUGCUCAGCUUACCCUCCCUUAAACCAAAAGUAGAGGUGUUUUAAAGGUUUUGUAUCAUUUCAGACCGUAGUAUUGAAUGUAGUGCUCACAAGCCAAAACGGGUUGCCAAAUAUUGUGCACAACGUCACUUAUUUCGUAUAUGUUACGUCCUGCAAAAAAAUAAUCCUGCAAUUUGUAUGAUGUUAUGAAUUCCAAUUCGUACAAUAUGUUACGAAUGUGUAAGUGCUUAAGAUCCCGUUCAAUCUCUUUAACCGUUUGAGGAGAAUACAUGAAACUGGCCUUAGAUCAAAGUUUUGGUACAACCUGUUUAUACAACAUUAUCUGCCCAUGUAACACAGGUCAUUAAACAUUGUGUUGAAUGUAAUGAACAAAGUAUUCUAUGAAUGCUUAGCUAGAACAAGUUCUGCACUGCUUGGUGAGUGGUGCAGUGCUGAACAUGUCUUGCAGUGCUGAACAUGUCUUGCAGUGCUGAACAUGUCUUGCAGUGCUGAACACGUCUUGCAGUGCAGACUGUGAGAGCAGUGGAAAGGUGCAGUAGCCUUAGGAACUUACCUAAUUUAUACCAUCUUCCUUCUGUGACUACUACUGUAUUAUAAACUCAUGAUGGUAUUUGAGGGUUACUGCUUGGUUAUAGGAGAUCUUGCCUAUGCUCUACUUGAUUGAGAAGAUGCACUCCAGAAAAGUUGACCUUUUCUAUGUAUAUUUAUCUUAUGGGGAUCUAUUGUUAAUGUGUCCAGUUCACACCUGUACUCCAUCAAACAAUAAACUUGUAUAGAUGUAUUGUCCUAAUUUAAACCAGAAUUGUACUCAAUGAUGCACUAUGCAGAAAUCCCUCUGCCAUUUCCUGCUUGCUAAAAUUCUAAUAGUUCACCUAAUUUCAGUUUGUGACAAAACAAGCAAGUAUAGUUUAGAGAAUCAUUGUACCAUCUAAACAGCUGUGGAAUAUGUUUUCCAUACUCUAAGCAUAGAAAUAUUGCACAUACAACAGGUCUGCCGCUUCUUAGACUUGCUUUCAAAGAGAGUGACAGAUCUAUAACUCACAUUUCUAUGUGAAUUUGGUCUGGUGUCCCAAAAAGUUACAUAUUGCAGCUUUAAAUAGGAGGGUGUUCAGAAGAGUUGAAUUAUCAAAAUUGCAGACAGAAAUGUACCCUACCAUAUAGAAUGUACACACCUUGUACAAUGAGACAAAGAAUGUCAGAUCUAAGUAAUACAUUUCUACCUGUGACAGCUUUCUCAUUACAGACACCAGCUACUUCCGUUAGAAUCUUGUCAGGCCAAAUUAAGUAAUUUUUUUAUUGAUGUCAAGUUGUGUAAUAAACUACCCUUUGUCUGUUGAUUUGAGCAAAUCUAUUUUUACUUAAAUUAAACUUUCC
Oncorhynchus tshawytscha (Chinook salmon) is the source of this 2654-nucleotide long non-coding RNA. Lineage: Eukaryota; Metazoa; Chordata; Actinopteri; Salmoniformes; Salmonidae. The record is from Ensembl.